UUGAAAGGCUAUGGUUUCCCUUUAGGGAUCCCAGAAGUAGUUAAAUUAAGACCAGUGAACAAGUAACAUCCUAUAAUUAUGGAUUUAAAGCCAGAAGGGACUUCUUAUUUUUGUUGUUGUUGUUCAGUCAUUUCAGUCAUGUUUGACUCUUUGUGAUCCCAUUUGCAGUUUUCUUGACAAAACUAUUGGACUGGUUUGUCAUUUCCUUCUCUGGCUUCACUUUUACAGAUGAGGAAACUAAGGCAAAUAAGGUUAAGUGAUCCUUAACACAAGCUAGUAAGAGUCCGUGGCUGAACUCAUGCAGAUAAGUUUUCCUGAUUCCCACCCCGGGACUCUGUGGGUUGUGUGGCCCAACUGCCUAAGACAGCACUUAGGAACUCAUCUAUCCCGUUGGACCUUACAGAUGAAGGAAGUAAAUGUUUGUUAAACAGAUGGAAAACCAGUGCAUCUCAAGAAGGCCACGGCACUACUUGACAUCUUGGAACACAACAACAGGCAAUGUACUCCUCAUUCUCUC
Molecule: long non-coding RNA, 517 nt
Filed under: Sarcophilus harrisii (Tasmanian devil)
Lineage: Eukaryota; Metazoa; Chordata; Mammalia; Dasyuromorphia; Dasyuridae
Description: lncRNA (ENSSHAG00000029448.1)
Source: RNAcentral